This 314-nucleotide unclassified non-coding RNA is filed under the name plant metagenome. RNAcentral describes it as "partial contains 5.8S ribosomal RNA, internal transcribed spacer 2, and large subunit ribosomal RNA". The stretch from base 1 to 105 matches the Rfam family "5.8S ribosomal RNA", at positions 50 to 154 of the family's 154-position model. The record is from RNAcentral.
GAAAUGCGAUAAUUAAUGUGAAUUGCAGAAUUCAGUGAAUCAUCGAGUCUUUGAACGCACAUUGCGCCCCCUGGUAUUCCGGGGGGCAUGCCUGUCCGAGCGUCAUUGCUGCCCUCAAGCACGGCUUGUGUGUUGGGCUUCCGUCCCUGGCAACGGGGACGGGCCCAAAAGGCAGUGGCGGCACCAUGUCUGGUCCUCGAGCGUAUGGGGCUUUGUCACCCGCUCCCGUAGGUCCAGCUGGCAGCUAGCCUCGCAACCAAUCUUUUUAACCAUGUUGACCUCGGAUCAGGUAGGGAUACCCGCUGAACUUAAGC